GUGUCAGCAGCCGCGGUAAUACGGAGGGGGCAAGCGUUAUUCGGAAUCAUUGGGCGUAAAGGGCGCGUAGGCGGCCUGGCAAGUCAAAGGUGAAAUCCCUCGGCCUAACCGAGGAACUGCCUUUGAAACUGCAAGGCUCGAGGCCGGGAGAGGGUAGCGGAAUUCCCAGUGUAGCGGUGAAAUGCGUAGAUAUUGGGAGGAACACCAGUGGCGAAGGCGGCUACCUGGACCGGUUCUGACGCUGAUGCGCGAAAGCGUGGGGAGCAAACAGGAUUAGAAACCCUCGUAGUCC
RNAcentral lists this ribosomal RNA (292 nucleotides) under uncultured bacterium. RNAcentral's name for it is "partial 16S ribosomal RNA". It matches the Rfam family "Bacterial small subunit ribosomal RNA", at positions 505 to 796 of the family's 1533-position model. The record is from RNAcentral.